AGAACAUCCCUCAUACCCUUUAACCAACCAUAUCUAAUCACUCAUAUUAUGUGACUUAUGCAGGUUCCGUAUUCAAAUGUCUAUCUCUGAUGUCUCUGAAUGUGUUGUGUAUGUGGAUUUCAAUGGGUAUGUCACCAAGAUGACAAAUGUCACAGCUGCAGAGGUUGCACAGCUAAUGAAUGUAAUCUGCAAACAGAACCCAGGUGUUAAAGACUCAGAUGAGAAAUCCCUCCCAGAAUGCCUCAAGGAUUUAGUUGGAAGGACCUACACUUUCCAGUUAAAACUGUCUGCAUUUAACUUUACUUAACGAGAGCACUUCUUUGACGACGAUGAGUGUCCACCACAACCCAACUUUUAGGAAAGUGUGUAUAACCUACGUGAUGACAUGCCUAGAGCUGGAACUCUGACAACAAAGCCCUCCCUUGGUGUAAGCAACCCCUGAGGCCAGUGUAGAGACGGAGCUUUUUUAGGAGCUGUUUCUGCGAGUGGAGCUUCGCCUACUGAAUCUAUUCCAGGUGGAAUAAAUACUGAGAAGAUACCAUUUCCGAAAAAGGAGCCCGCGGGAAAAAAAAAGCUCCGGAAGACAUAGCUCCUUACUUAUCGAACUAUUGCGACGACCGAACACCACUACUCCUUUUUCUUUUGAUUUUUAAAAUUUUCAAUAAUUUGAAAUGGGCAUGACUAAUUUAUAACCGCUACUGUUAAAUUAUUUUGAUUAUUUACUAGCCUUGUUGAGGACGUAACUUAUGAAUCAAGUUUCAGUAAUUGAGGCAACCUUAGACACGCACAAAACAUUGCUAUUAUUUGACACUGCAGAAAAAAUCAUGCUUUCAGCCUGACUUACAACAUCGAGGACACGUUUAUCUUACAAAAUUAUAACUUCAGAAUUCCCAUUUAGUCAUCAGCCCCAAAUCUUUCUAUGUUCAUGAUUUGAAAUAUGCGCUUUAAACUUUCCUGCAAUUAGCAAACCGAAGACUUAUUAGCGCAAACCAUCCCCUCCUACGUGAACAUGGACAUGCUAAAACGUAAUUUUUCACGCACAAAACUAUCCACAGUUUCCAUUAUUUCUAAAAAAAACUACCAACAACUCCAACAAACAUGUUCCUUAGAAAAUCGGAAACCCCACAGUUUUCACCUGCAAACAAAUGUGAUUGUUACAUUAGUUAUACAAAUAAUAUUAUAGCUCCAAGCAAACAUUUACCAAAGCAUGCUUUCUGGUGCGAGGAACGGCCAACAUCAAGAGCUUCCUGGCACGUAAUGAGCUCUAGUUCACAAUAGAAAUGAGAGCAUUCCUAAUUUAUAUUCCACUUUGUUUUGAAAAUUAUCUGUAAUUCCACUUAAUUUUAAGUCUAUAAUAAAAUAUAACGUAGAAUUAUUUUAAUUUUUGAUUUAUGAUUCUACGUUAUAGUAAAAAAAAAACAUGAAAGUAAAACUCAAUUCGAUUUUGAAGUUAAUUUAUAAAGUAAGAACUGAAGUGAUUUGUUGAUGCUGUAAAGCAAAUCUUUAUGACACUAUUAUAGUUGGCGCUGGAAAGAGGGGGCUGAAGAGAACUAGCUUCAAAGCAUGUCAAACAUGAAAGAAUCCUAGAUCGAUAUUCAUCUUCUGUUUCUAAAAAAAGGAAAGAAAAAAAAAGCUUGGCUUUUGAUUCCACAAUCUGAGCUUGCCGUCUCAUCCUUUGGCUCGUAGAGAUUGCAGCAAAGCUCAAUACUUUAUCUCGGCGGCGAUGGCGAUCUCGCGAUGAUUGAGUCUCGUUCCGACGAUCUCCAAAACCUACUCGAGGAAGCUCCAAGCCCAACCUCAUGAACCG
Brassica rapa (field mustard) is the source of this 1807-nucleotide long non-coding RNA. RefSeq lists it as uncharacterized. The record is from RefSeq and is a predicted model, not a curated record. Lineage: Eukaryota; Viridiplantae; Streptophyta; Magnoliopsida; Brassicales; Brassicaceae.